RNAcentral lists this ribosomal RNA (564 nucleotides) under uncultured bacterium. Its description in RNAcentral is "partial 16S ribosomal RNA". It matches the Rfam family "Bacterial small subunit ribosomal RNA", at positions 355 to 912 of the family's 1533-position model. The record is from RNAcentral.
UGGGGAAUUUUGGACAAUGGGCGAAAGCCUGAUCCAGCAAUGCCGCGUGUGUGAAGAAGGCCUUCGGGUUGUAAAGCACUUUUGUCCGGAAAGAAAUCCUUGGCUCUAAUACAGUCGGGGGAUGACGGUACCGGAAGAAUAAGCACCGGCUAACUACGUGCCAGCAGCCGCGGUAAUACGUAGGGUGCAAGCGUUAAUCGGAAUUACUGGGCGUAAAGCGUGCGCAGGCGGUUGCUAAGACCGAUGUGAAAUCCCCGGGCUCAACCUGGGAACUGCAUUGGUGACUGGCAGGCUAGAGUAUGGCAGAGGGGGGUAGAAUUCCACGUGUAGCAGUGAAAUGCGUAGAGAUGUGGAGGAAUACCGAUGGCGAAGGCAGCCCCCUGGGCCAAUACUGACGCUCAUGCACGAAAGCGUGGGGAGCAAACAGGAUUAGAUACCCUGGUAGUCCACGCCCUAAAACGAUGUCAACUAGUUGUUGGGGAUUCAUUUCCUUAGUAACGUAGCUAACGCGUGAAGUUGACCGCCUGGGGAGUACGGUCGCAAGAUUAAAACUUAAAGGAAUUG